ACGAAAGUCUGACGGAGCAACGCCGCGUGUAUGAUGAAGGUCUUCGGAUUGUAAAGUACUGUCAUUGGGGAAGAACGGUCUUUUUGAGAAGAUUGAGAAGACAUGACGGUACCCAAGGAGGAAGCCCCGGCUAACUACGUGCCAGCAGCCGCGGUAAUACGUAGGGGGCGAGCGUUGUCCGGAAUUAUUGGGCGUAAAGGGCGCGUAGGCGGAUGCUUAAGUCCGGUGUGAAAGAUCAGGGCUCAACCCUGAGAGUGCAUCGGAAACUGGGUAUCUUGAGGACAGGAGAGGAAAGUGGAAUUCCACGUGUAGCGGUGAAAUGCGUAGAUAUGUGGAGGAACACCAGUGGCGAAGGCGACUUUCUGGACUGUAACUGACGCUGAGGCGCGAAAGCGUGGGGAGCAAACAGGAUUAGAUACCCUGGUAGUCCACGCCGUAAACGAUGAGUGCUAGGUGUAGAGGGUAUCGACCCCUUCUGUGCCGCAGUUAACACAAUAAGCACUCCGCCUGGGGAGUA
RNAcentral lists this ribosomal RNA (517 nucleotides) under uncultured bacterium. RNAcentral's name for it is "bacterial SSU rRNA". It matches the Rfam family "Bacterial small subunit ribosomal RNA", at positions 375 to 882 of the family's 1533-position model. The record is from RNAcentral.